This 346-nucleotide ribosomal RNA is filed under the name uncultured bacterium. RNAcentral describes it as "partial 16S ribosomal RNA". It matches the Rfam family "Bacterial small subunit ribosomal RNA", at positions 338 to 682 of the family's 1533-position model. The record is from RNAcentral.
CCUACGGGAGGCAGCAGUGAGGAAUAUUGGUCAAUGGCCGGGAGGCUGAACCAGCCAAGUCGCGUGAGGGAAGACGGCCCGACGGGUGGUAAACCGCUUUUGUCAGGGAGCAAGGUGCAGGGCGGGACCGGCUGUGAGAGUACCUGAAGAAAAAGCAGCGGCUAACUCCGGGCCAGCAGCCGCGGUAAUACGGUGGAUGCGAGCGUUAUCCGGGUUUAGUGGGUGUAAAGGGGGCGCAGGCGGAGGCACAAGGCAGCGGUAAAAGCGCGGGGCUCAACCCCGCUCCGCCGUUGAAACUGUGUCCCUUGAGUGCGCUACGGGUCGGCGGAAUGCGUGGUGUAGCGGU